CACUUCUAAGGAAGGCAGCAGGCGCGCAAAUUACCCAAUCCUGACUCAGGGAGGUAGUGACAAGAAAUAACAAUAAACCGGCUUAUGCCGGUUUAAUUGGAAUGAGUACAAUUUAAACAUCUUAACGAGGAACAAUUGGAGGGCAAGUCUGGUGCCAGCAGCCGCGGUAAUUCCAGCUCCAAUAGCGUAUACUAAAGUUGUUGCAGUUAAAAAGCUCGUAGUUGGAUUUCUGUGGGGACGGAGCGGCCGGCCGCACAUCGCGGUUCGAGCUAGCGCUUUCCCUACAUCCUGCCGCGAACCGUGCUACCAUUAGUUUGGUGGCGCUGGGGAUCGGCUCGAUUACUUUGAGAAAAAUAGAGUGUUCAAAGCAGGCCACAUGCCUUGAAUAAGUUAGCAUGGAAUAAUAACUAAGGACUUCGGUUCUAUUUUGUUGGUGUUCGGGACUGAAGUAAUGAUUGAUAGGGACAGUUGGGGCGGUCUGUAUUCCAAAGCGAGAGGUGAAAUUCUUAGACCUUCGGAAGACAAACAGCUGCGAAAGCGUUCCGCAAGGAUGUUCCCUUUGAUCAAGAACGAAAGUUGGGGGAUCGAAGACGAUCAGAUACCGUCGUAGUCUCAACUAUAAACUAUACCAGCUAGGGAUCGGCCAACGUUAUUUUAUACCGACUUGGUCGGCACCUUAUGAGAAAUCAAAGCAUCUGGGUUCCGGGGGGAGUAUGGUCGCAAGGCUGAAACUUAAAGGAAUUGACGGAAGGGCACCACCAGCCGUGGAGCCUGUGGCUUAAUUUGACUCAACACGGGAAAACUUACCAGGUCCAGACAUAGUAAGGAUUGACAGAUUGAUAGCUCUUUCUUGAUUCUGUGGGUGGUGGUGCAUGGCCGUUCUUAGUUGGUGGAGUGAUUUGUCUGGUUAAUUCCGUUAACGAACGAGACCCCAGCCUGCUAAAUAGCGCGCGUGAGCUUUGCUCGCGGCGAGCUUCUUGGAGGGACUAUGAUGCGCGAUAGCACAUGGAAGUUUGGGGCAAUAACAGGUCUGUGAUGCCCUUAGAUGUUCUGGGCCGCACACGGGCUACACUGGCGCCUGCAACGAGCAUAUCAGCUGGCCCGAGAGGGUCUUGGCUAAUCUUUUGAACCGGCGCCGUGCUUGGGAUUGACCUUUGCAAUUGUUGGUCAUGCAACGAGGAAUGCCUUGUAAACGCGAGUCAUCAGCUCGCAUUGAAUACGUCCCUGCCCUUUGUACACACCGCCCGUCGCUCCUACCGAUGAAUGUUCCGAUGAAAUUUUCGGAGAGCACCUGUGAACUUGGCUCUGCCUUGCGAACGGGAGGCUCAAAGUCACUUAAAUCUGAACAUUUC
Molecule: ribosomal RNA, 1352 nt
Filed under: uncultured marine eukaryote
Lineage: Eukaryota
Description: SSU rRNA
Rfam family: Eukaryotic small subunit ribosomal RNA
Source: RNAcentral